Molecule: ribosomal RNA, 496 nt
Filed under: uncultured bacterium
Lineage: Bacteria
Description: partial 16S ribosomal RNA
Rfam family: Bacterial small subunit ribosomal RNA
Source: RNAcentral
AUGCACGCUGGCGGCGUGCCUAAUACCUGCAAGUCGAGCGCACAGAUGAGGAGCUUGCUCCUCUGACGUUAGCGGCGGACGGGUGAGUAACACGUGGAUAACCUACCUAUAAGACUGGGAUAACUUCGGGAAACCGGAGCUAAUACCGGAUAAUAUAUUGAACCGCAUGGUUCAAUAGUGAAAGACGGUUUUGCUGUCACUUAUAGAUGGAUCCGCGCCGCAUUAGCUAGUUGGUAAGGUAACGGCCUACCAAGGCAACGAUGCGUAGCCGACCUGAGAGGGUGAUCGGCCACACUGGAACUGAGACACGGUCCAGACUCCUACGGGAGGCAGCAGUAGGGAAUCUUCCGCAAUGGGCGAAAGCUUGACGGAGCAACGCCGCGUGAGUGAUGAAGGUCUUCGGAUCGUAAAACUCUGUUAUUAGGGAAGAACAAAUGUGUAAGUAACUAUGCACGUCUUGACGGUACCUAAUCAGAAAGCCACGGCUAACUACGUG